GUGAUCACUUCAGCAGCACUUAUUCUAAAAUUGGAAUGAUACGAGAAGAUUAGCAUGGCCCCUGUGCAAGGAUGACAUGCAAAUUUGUGAAGUAUUCCAUAUUUGU
Molecule: small nuclear RNA, 106 nt
Organism: Apodemus sylvaticus (European woodmouse)
Lineage: Eukaryota; Metazoa; Chordata; Mammalia; Rodentia; Muridae
Source: RefSeq, a predicted model, not a curated record